Molecule: long non-coding RNA, 674 nt
Organism: Cannabis sativa
Lineage: Eukaryota; Viridiplantae; Streptophyta; Magnoliopsida; Rosales; Cannabaceae
Exons: 2
Source: RefSeq, a predicted model, not a curated record
UCUUAUAUAUAAUAAGACUCAUCUUCACGUCCUGCUUAAAGGACAAUAAUACCCUUCUAUUGCAGCUGGUUGAAGUGGGUUUAUUGUAUUUUUCAUACAAUUAUAUAUUUUUUUUGUUCACCGCCUAUCCUCUCGUCACUUAUCCCCAAUCCUGCUUCACCUACUUCAUUGCCACUUUUCUCCAAAAAAAAUUGACACGCAUUAGAACCCAAAGUCUCUUGUUCUCAAAUCUCACGCUAGCUAUCUGUGCUACCUUAAUGCUCACUUUGAUCAUGGAUAUCAAAAGAACUAAGAAAGUGGAUAUCUACCUCAAUGUUUCUACAUAUUUAAUCGAAUGUGCUUGAGAUCAACAAGAAAGAGGUAAUUGUAUUUUUCGUAAAAUUGUGAAUCUAAAGUAUGUGUAAGAUUUGUUAAGGAUUUAGUGUAUUGUUAGUGUUUGGGAUUCAAGGCCAUUUUGUUUUGGUCUAUGUACAAUGUUUUUGUUCUUGUUCCAGUUAGUUACAAUAUUAUAUUUAUUUUUUAAGGUCGAGUGAUGGAAUCGAUCUUGUGUAGAGCUAUUUUAUUUUAUUUUAUUUUUUUUUUUUUGUAAUCUUAGCUUCCUUGGGGUGUUUCUUCUCCAAAUAGAGAUCAUGAACAUAAUGUUCUCUAAUUAAUUUGAUGGUAUUCUAUUUCAA